AUUGAACGCUGGCGGCAGGCCUAACACAUGCAAGUCGAGCGAGCGGCGGCCGGGUGAGUAAUGUAUGGGGACUGCCCGAUAGAGGGGGAUAACUACUGGAAACGGUAGCUAAUACCGCAUACUAUCGGAUAACCCAUAUGGGAUUAGCUAGUAGGGGAGGUAAUGGCUCACCUAGGCGACGAUCCCUAGCUGGUCUGAGAGGAUGAUCAGCCACACUGGGACUGAGACACGGCCCAAUCGCCUACGGAGGCAGCCGUGGGGAAUAUGGCACAAUGGGCGCAAGCCUGAUGCAGCCAUGGCGCGUGUAUGAAGAAGGCCCUAGGGUUGUAAAGUACUUUCAGUCGGGAGGCGGUAACGAAAGAAGAAGCACCGGCUAACUCCGUGACAGCAGCCGCGGUAAUUC
This 403-nucleotide ribosomal RNA is filed under the name uncultured bacterium. RNAcentral's name for it is "partial 16S ribosomal RNA". It matches the Rfam family "Bacterial small subunit ribosomal RNA", at positions 30 to 526 of the family's 1533-position model. The record is from RNAcentral.